RNAcentral lists this ribosomal RNA (426 nucleotides) under uncultured bacterium. RNAcentral's name for it is "partial 16S ribosomal RNA". It matches the Rfam family "Bacterial small subunit ribosomal RNA", at positions 354 to 796 of the family's 1533-position model. The record is from RNAcentral.
GUGAGGAAUUUUCCGCAAUGGGCGAAAGCCUGACGGAGCAAUGCCGCGUGAAGGAUGAAGGCCUAUGGGUUGUAAACUUCUUUUCUCAGAAAAGAAUUAUGACGGUAUCUGAGGAAUAAGCAUCGGCUAACUCUGUGCCAGCAGCCGCGGUAAGACAGAGGAUGCAAGCGUUAUCCGGAAUGAUUGGGCGUAAAGCGUCUGUAGGUUGUUUAAAAAGUAUUCUGUCAAAGAUUAGGGCUUAACCCUAGAUAGGCAGAAUAAACUUUUAAGCUAGAGUUUGGUAGAGGAAGAGGGAAUGCCCGGUGGAGCGGUGAAAUGCGUAGAUAUCGGGAGGAACACCAAAGGCGAAGGCACUCUGCUGGGCCAAUACUAACACUGAGAGACGAAAGCGAGGGGAGCAAAUGGGAUUAGAAACCCUGGUAGUCC